CCGUUAUGGAGGCACGUGCAAGGCGGCCGAGCCACGGCGUGAUGAGCAUAUUUCUUUCAAUGGAGCUCCUGCUCGGUUUUCUUUUGGCUUGGAGUGUUUCCAGGACUACGUCGCUGUCACUCUCGUCUUGGUUUCUCCGGACACCGCGAUCGCUUCACCCUGGCCGGGUUGACUUUCAGCAGUUUCAUUAUAAUGUGGCUCGACGUCCUUUUUUCUAGGAUUUUUUUUCCCUUACUUAAAAAAAUUUAUUUGAAACACAGCAUUUAUAGAGAGAGAAGAUGAGAGAGAGAGACAGAGAGAGAGAGAGAGAGAGAGAGAGAGAGAGAGAGAGAUCCUCCAUCCGCUGGUUCACUCCCCAGAUGCUGCAACAGCCAGAGCUGUGCUGAUCCGGAAAAUCCAGGAGCCAGGAGCUUCUCCAGGUCUCCCACGUGGGUGCAGGGGCCCAAGGACUCGGGCCAUCUUCUGCUGCUUUCCCAGGCCACAGCAGAGAGCUGGAUCGGAAGAGGAGCAUCCGGGACUCGAACAUCGCAGGCGGCGGCUUUACCCACUACACCACAGCGCGGGCCCCUUUCUUCUUCCUACUGCUCGUAUUUCCUCCCUUCCCGGCUGCCUGCGGAGUUUAGCCGCAUGCACUGUGAUUCCCCCAUGCCGGGUGGCUGGAGUUUUUCCUGGCUUUGUUCUGAGACGCUGUAAGGUGCCUCGGCGGCUGUCUGGUUCCUUCAAGGUUUGGUCUGUGCUUUGUGGGCAGGUCUGGGUCGGCCUCUCGCCCAGGGCGAAUCCGAGCCCUCCCGAGGACGCCAGCCUGUCACUGCCAGGUCUCCCGCUCUGCUGCUGCGCGAGGGGCCUUGUCCGUGUCUGUGGGCUCAGGGGACCGCUGUGCCUCUCCCCUGACGAUGGCUCUUCGCUCAGCCAGCUGGUUCUCGACACAUGGCCCAGACCGGCACUUCCCCGAAGCCGGCAGGAGGACCCUCUGCAGACCCCGGCCGCUCUCCCUGGGGUGCUCUCUCCUCUGGUGUCCCACGCCGUGCCUUACAGGAGUCCCGAG
This 1045-nucleotide long non-coding RNA is filed under the name Oryctolagus cuniculus (rabbit). RNAcentral describes it as "lncRNA (ENSOCUG00000032134.1)". The record is from RNAcentral. Lineage: Eukaryota; Metazoa; Chordata; Mammalia; Lagomorpha; Leporidae.